AGACAGGACACUGACUACAAGACAGGAGAGACAGGACACUGACUACAAGACAGGAGAGACGGGACACUGACUACAAGACAGGAGAGACAGGACACUGACUACAAGACAGGGGAGACAGGACACUGACUACAAGACAGGAGAGACGGGACACUGACUACAAGACAGGAGAGACAGGACACUGACUACAAGACAGGGGAGACAGGACACUGACUACAAGACAGGAGAGACGGGACACUGACUACAAGACAGGAGAGACAGGACACUGACUACAAGACAGGAGAGAUGGGACACUGACUACAAGACAGGAGAGACAGGACACUGACUACAAGACAGGAGACUGACUACAAGACAGGAGAGACUGGAGACUGACUACAAGACAGGAGAGACAGGACACUGACUACAAGACAGGAGAGACAGGACACUGACUACAAGACAGGAGAGACAGGACACUGACUACAAGACAGGAGACUGACUACAAGACAGGAGACUGACUACAAGACAGGAGACUGACUACAAGACAGGAGACCGACUACAAGACAGGAGAGACAGGAGACUGACUACAAGACAGGAGACUGACAACAAGACAGGAGAGACUGGAGACUGACUACAAGACAGGAGAGACGGGACACUGACUACAAGACAGGAGACUGACAACAAGACAGGAGAGACAGGAGACUGACUACAAGCUCUCAAACAGGGGAGAGUCUUUUUAAUAUUUGUUUUUCAAUAUAGGGGUAGAACAUCUCUAUUUAUUUUUCCGGUAUUAGUUCUUCUUGGAUACCUGGGUUAUUGGAUUGUGCCUGACAGGUUUCACAUCUCGUUAUAUUCAUGUUGUGUGUGAUGGCGUGUGGCAUGUGAUCGUAGCAUUUCUACACAUGCAGACAGACAGACAGGCAGACAAGGAGAUAAACACACACACAACCCACUUCUGUAACAGCCAUCAGAGCUAGGUAGAGAGCUGUCACCUCUGUCUGUCUGAGAUGUGGUUGAGAUCUCUCUCUGUCUCUCUCUCUCUCUGUCUCUCUGUCUCUCCCUCUCUGUCUCUCUCUCUCUCUGUCUCACUCUCUCUCUCUCUCUCUGUCUCUCUCUCUCUCUCUCUGUCUCUCUCUGUCUCUCUCUCUCUCUGUCUCUCACUCUCUCUCUCUCUCUCUCUCUCUCUGUCUCUCUCUCUCUCUCUCUCUCUCUCUGUCUCUCUCUCUCUUUCUCUCUCCCUCCCUUCCCACUCUUUCCCUCCCUCUCUCACUCCCUGCCCCCUCUCUCCUUCUCACUCUCCCUUCCCUCCCCUCUCUCCCCACUUUUUCCCUCUCCCUCCCUCCCUCUCUCCCUCCCUCCCAUCUCUCCUCUCUAGAGACGUGUUUUUUGUCUGCGUUGGGUUGUUCGUCUGGCUGUGUGUACUGUGAAAACAUCAAAACAAAACAGAUUGCGUUCUUCUUUUGUGGCGGUAUUUAUUUAGCGCAGGCGCUGUGCGGUCACCCCACGGUCCUGUUGCUAAGCAACCGGCCUACUCUCUCUCUCUGAGCCGAGCAGCCGAGCUUCUCUUCAUUUCCUGUUCACUGGUAGCUGUUGCACACACACAGCACACACACACACACACACACACACCACACACACCGCUCCCCGACGGCUGAAAGGAGAAGUAGAUCAUUGUCAGCCAGUCAGUCAGUCAGUCAGUUAGUCAGUUAGUCAGGCAGUUAAGGGAGUAACAACAUGACAUCAUCCUCUGUCCGUGUUAUUAGCAAUUCUAUAUAAAUGGAUCAAAAAGACGUAUAGCAACAGGAUUAGCUGGGCAUUGAAUGUAUUCAAGCACCACAAGUGACUUCAUUUGAAAUAGAAACUAACAGCCGUUUGUCGGCCAUCUUGGAUCCCGAGGAUUUUUUUUGUCCUUUUCUUUUCUUUUUGUGUUUUUUGCUUUAAAAAAGUUUGAAGUUCUUCCCACAUUGGUCUGAAAUGAAAUGUUAUUUUGACAGUUAUCUUUACCUUCAACUCAAUUCAUACUAUCUCUGUUGUCUCCUCUGUUGCUUUGGUCCGGUAGACCUACAUACAACGAGCUGUUGAUGAAUCUGAGCUCUGUUUUGUCGGUUCCAGGUGUUAUGAACAUGAAGUGUUUGACUGUGAAGAGAGAUACAUACCUCCAACCCUAACGAGAUGGAGAGGUUUCAAAAAGGAGGUUGUGGUCGUGGCUUGUACAAUGACACUAUUACCAGUGCCCCCCCCCAACGGUGAGUGUUGGGCGGAGAAAGAGGUAGGUUUGACCCCAGGCUUCUCUCAAGGUCAAGGUGACGAGAACAGGAGAAUUCUGUCAUGUCAACAAACCAGCCAAAAAACCUUCUACUAGUCUUAACUAACCCCGUGUUUAGUUCACUGCCUCGCCAUAGCAACCACACAAAUGUUGUUGAUUAUAUUCUGUCAAAUAUACACAUAGUUUUAGUGUAUCUAACUAAGUGAGUUGGAAGUUGACCUCUCUCCAAAGCACCGCUACGGUUGGUAAAACGCCCAAGAAAUUGUUUCGAUAAAUGUUUAGUUUAUAUUUUAUUUUAAUAUUUUGGUAAUGUAGGUUGUCCUCUGUGGUUCUGUAGUGUUGUGAGAAAGACCGGCUCAGUCAGAGUGUCCCUGAAAGAGAGAUCUAGGAUCAGUUCCUCAAACCCUCCACCCUUCACUGUUGGGCGAGGACAAACACAAAACUGAUCUUAGGUCAGUGUCUAAAGGGGGCGUAACUUCGUCCUACUCAGAGGAGGCUGCUUGUCGAGUGUGAAGGGUUGAGCAUUAAACACUUCCUGGUCAGUGUUAUGGGAUCCUGAAGGUCACGUAAAGGUCGCGACCCUUGACUUUUGGUCCUCUUUGUCAAAGUGAAGGAUUUCCCUUCCAACAACAGAAAAGAAGCUUCCUCCAAAUAUCGUUGUCUGUGUCCCCAAUGGCCCCUUAUUCCCUAUGAGCCCUGGGCGAAAGUAGUGCACUCGAUAGGGAAUAGGGUGCUAUUUGUGGUGCGGACAUUAUUUCCCGGGGACCAAGUCAAACGUAAUUUUUUGAUUUAUUGUCAUUAACUGUAACUUUGUCUUCUUUUCAACGUUCGUGUUGAGUUGUUCAUUGGUUCCGGUGCUGAUGUGACGACGACGGAGGGAAAAUACAUCCACUAAAUAACGGCUCUUUGUAAAUAUGUUUUUACAUCAGAUAAUUACCGGCUCUACUCUGUAAAGAAAUGACCGUUUGUUUGUUUUUUAUUAAAAAUAGAGGAGUAUUUUUAUUUCGGUAAUUGUUUUCCACUCUUAACCCAUCAGAGCCGUUGCACUUCUGACGAUGUCUUACUGCUCAUUUCUAUUGUAAACUUCUUCUGCUGUUGAUUUUGAAGUUAAUUUUUUUCUAGUUUGAGAUUUUGACUCUGUACCUAAAAAGCAGUGAUUUAUUUCUUUUUAUCCUGUACAGAAUUCUGAAAAUGUUAACAAACAAGACAAUUACAACAAAAACAAACACUUGUUUUUCUAAAAAAAAAUAUACGAAUAAAGAGAGAAUGUUCUCGCUGAUCAUAUGAAA
Oncorhynchus tshawytscha (Chinook salmon) is the source of this 3528-nucleotide long non-coding RNA. The record is from Ensembl. Lineage: Eukaryota; Metazoa; Chordata; Actinopteri; Salmoniformes; Salmonidae.